AUUGAACGCUGGCGGCGUGCCUAACACAUGCAAGUCGAGCGGUAACAGGUGUAGCAAUACAUGCUGACGAGCGGCGAACGGGUGAGUAAUGCUUCGGAAUCUACCCAAUGGUGGGGAAUAACCAGCCGAAAGGUUGGCUAAUACCGCAUACGUCCCACGGGGAGAAAGGCAGGGGAUCGGCAAGACCUUGCGCCAAUGGAUGAGCCGAAGUCGGAUUAG
This 219-nucleotide ribosomal RNA is filed under the name uncultured bacterium. RNAcentral describes it as "partial 16S ribosomal RNA". It matches the Rfam family "Bacterial small subunit ribosomal RNA", at positions 30 to 244 of the family's 1533-position model. The record is from RNAcentral.